This 253-nucleotide ribosomal RNA is filed under the name uncultured bacterium. Its description in RNAcentral is "partial 16S ribosomal RNA". It matches the Rfam family "Bacterial small subunit ribosomal RNA", at positions 524 to 776 of the family's 1533-position model. The record is from RNAcentral.
UACGUAGGGGCCUAGCGUUGUCCGGAUUUAUUGGGCGUAAAGAGCGUGUAGGCGGUCAGGUAGGUCCGUUGUGAAAACUCGAGGCUCAACCUCGAGACGCCGAUGGAAACCAUCUGACUAGAGUCCGGAAGAGGAGAGUGGAAUUCCUGGUGUAGCGGUGAAAUGCGCAGAUAUCAGGAGGAACACCAAUUGCGAAGGCAGCUCGCUGGGACGUAACUGACGCUGAGACGCGAAAGCGUGGGGAGCAAACAGG